RNAcentral lists this ribosomal RNA (253 nucleotides) under uncultured prokaryote. RNAcentral's name for it is "partial 16S ribosomal RNA". It matches the Rfam family "Bacterial small subunit ribosomal RNA", at positions 525 to 777 of the family's 1533-position model. The record is from RNAcentral.
ACAGAGGUCUCAACCGUUGUUCGGAUUCAUUGGGCGUAAAGGGUGCGUAGGCGGUCGCGCAAGUCGGAUGUGAAAUCUCAGGGCUCAACCCUGAAACUGCAUUCGAUACUGCGUGGCUAGAGUGCUGGAGAGGAGACUGGAAUUUACGGUGUAGCAGUGAAAUGCGUAGAUAUCGUAAGGAAGACCAGUGGCGAAGGCGAGUCUCUGGACAGCAACUGACGCUGAGGCACGAAGGCCAGGGGAGCAAACGGGA